RNAcentral lists this ribosomal RNA (382 nucleotides) under uncultured bacterium. RNAcentral's name for it is "bacterial SSU rRNA". It matches the Rfam family "Bacterial small subunit ribosomal RNA", at positions 131 to 507 of the family's 1533-position model. The record is from RNAcentral.
UCAAUGAUUGGGACAACCCGGGGAAACUCGGGCCUAAUACCCAAAUGUGUCAUCCUCAAGGGAUGAGGAAGAGCUUCCGGCCUCCGCAUUGAGAUGGGCCCGCGGCCCAUUAGCUUGUUGGUGAGGUAACGGCUCACCAAGGCUUCGAUGGGUAGCUGGUCUGAGAGGACGAUCAGCCACACUGGGACUGAGACACGGCCCAGACUCCUACGGGAGGCAGCAGUGGGGAAUCUUGCACAAUGCGCGAAAGCGUGAUGCAGCAACGCCGCGUGGGGAAGACGGCCUUCGGGUUGUAAACCCCUUUCAGUUGGGACGAAGCUUCGUCGGUGAAUAGCCGGUUGGAGUGACGGUACCUUCAGAAGAAGCCCCGGCUAACUACGUG